RNAcentral lists this ribosomal RNA (633 nucleotides) under Triticum aestivum (bread wheat). Its description in RNAcentral is "partial small subunit ribosomal RNA". The record is from RNAcentral. Lineage: Eukaryota; Viridiplantae; Streptophyta; Magnoliopsida; Poales; Poaceae.
GUCCUCCGGAUAGGGACCUCGAUUGAGAUCGGGUCCGGCACCGCCACGCUAUUCUGGUUCGAUCGCUGGACUGGGGACGCACCCCUGGCGUCCCGGUUUCCGGUCCUGUUCUCCAUCGCAGUGGCCCCCCAGAUCUCCGUGGCAAACGCCCUUCUUGACCUUGGGCCCCUCGCGUUCCGAAGGCCUUUUGGUCCUGCGGAGAAUGCGGACUGGCAGGAAUUGCUUGACUGUGUGGCUCUCCAUGAGCCGGAUCUCACGACUGACGUUGACCGCGCCAGAUGGCGCCUUGAACCGUCCGGUCAAUUCUCCACCAAAUCUCUCUAUCUGGCCAUCGCCCCCUCACCCGGUCAUGAGGCGCUCUCAUCUAUUUGGGAGAUUCACCUCCCAUUGAAGAUUAAGAUAUUCUUGUGGCAGUGGAUUCGUGGCCGCCUACCAUCGGGCGUUGAGGUUCUGAAACGCAAUGGCCCUGGGGAUGGGCGUUGCCCACUCCGUGGGCCUGAAGAGGAUUCGAACCAUAUCUUCUUCACCUGUGUGUCUGCACAGUUCCUUUGGAGCUGUUUCCGCGAGAUUGUGGGUGGAAGCUGGGAUCAUACCAACUUCCCUGCUCUCUUUGCCGAACUGUCACAUCCCUAG